GUCGGGCUGGCUGUCGCUCAAGCCUGCAAGGACCAAUCAGCUCUGGGGGCCGGCCGGCGGCAGCAUGGCGGGUUCUGAGGGCGGCCGGUCCCGGCUGGCGGAACGCGGCGUGUCCCGAGCAGCGCGGAGGCCGCAGCCCCGGCUGCUGAGCACAAACCGCCCUUUGUGUGCUUUGCGUGCUCCUUCGGCAGCCGCUGCAUUUCCCGGUUCCUGGAUAUGCUGUUCCCCGUCACACUGCAGCGCCCAUGGAGCGGCAGCGGGAGCGCUGUCUCUCGGCCCGCAGCCCCGCUGCUGAAAGCCAAGGCGCGGGGGCAGAGGCCGAGCCUCAGGUAACUCAGCCCGACUGCCCACUGGGCUUUAGUUCCCCACCAGAUGGGAGCCAAGGCCCGUCUCCACCCCAGGGUUUCCCUGAGCACAGCACGCUCGCUGUGUUUUGUACAAGCCGCUCGUGAGGAGCCGUCGCCUCUUUCUUUUCACAUCCUACUGCCCCUUUUUCACCCUGUAACCAGGCUGCUUUAUUAACACUGUUGCCGCUGCCACGCUAACACAAGGCUCUCUGCAAGCCCACAUCACAAAUCUCGCGUUUACCUUCAGUAAAUAAGCAGGUGUCUUGAGAUUGUAGUGAAGAUUAGUAUCAGUUGCCUUUCCUGAUCUGUCAGAAGCUGCUCCACAUCCUCUGGAUGAAGGGAAGACCAAUUAAUUUGGGGAGCUGGAAUCCUGACUGCACCUCACAGGGAGACAAGUACUGGAAAAGCUUCCAUUCUCUCAGCUAUAGGGUAAUACAACAUUACUUGGAUGAUGCAUUCUCAGGCAGAAUAAACAGCUGCCAUAACAGGGACUUGAAAACUCUGAAGAUUCCAGCUGGAGUAAAAUGGAUGCACAUGUUUGAUACUUUCAGGACCAGAGUGAAUAAACACCUUGCACACAGAUAAUGGAAAAUAAAGCUAUUCAUUUCCUUCUGUUUGAGCACUGGGGGUUUGUAAAUGCUAAGGCAGGUGGCUACUUUGCCAUCACUUAGCAACAUCAGGUUUUGACACACAACUGCUUCCUGGUCUCCCAGCCAGGUGGGCAAGGGAGGAUUCCCAAAGCCCCUGCUGCAGAUGGGAGAACUGACAAAUCACUCUGAGCUGAGGCUGCACUGAUGCAAAGGUG
Long non-coding RNA from Taeniopygia guttata (zebra finch), 1152 nucleotides. RefSeq lists it as uncharacterized. Lineage: Eukaryota; Metazoa; Chordata; Aves; Passeriformes; Estrildidae. The record is from RefSeq and is a predicted model, not a curated record.